This 433-nucleotide ribosomal RNA is filed under the name uncultured bacterium. RNAcentral describes it as "partial 16S ribosomal RNA". It matches the Rfam family "Bacterial small subunit ribosomal RNA", at positions 29 to 507 of the family's 1533-position model. The record is from RNAcentral.
AACGAACGCUGGCGGCAUGCCUAACACAUGCAAGUCGAACGAGACCUUCGGGUCUAGUGGCGCACGGGUGCGUAACGCGUGGGAACCUGCCCUUAGGUUCGGAAUAACUCCCCGAAAGGGGUGCUAAUACCGGAUAAUGUCUUCGGACCAAAGAUUUAUCGCCUUUGGAUGGGCCCGCGUUGGAUUAGCUAGUUGGUAGGGUAAAAGCCUACCAAGGCGACGAUCCAUAGCUGGUCUGAGAGGAUGAUCAGCCACACUGGGACUGAGACACGGCCCAGACUCCUACGGGAGGCAGCAGUGGGGAAUAUUGGACAAUGGGCGAGAGCCUGAUCCAGCAAUGCCGCGUGAGUGAUGAAGGCCUUAGGGUUGUAAAGCUCUGUUACCCGGGAUGAUAAUGACAGUACCGGGAGAAUAAGCUCCGGCUAACUCCGUG